GACGAACGCUGGCGGCGUGCUUAACACAUGCAAGUCGAACGGAAAGGCCCUGCUUUUGUGGGGUUCUCGAGUGGCGAACGGGUGAGUAACACGUGAGUAACCUGCCCUUGACUUUGGGAUAACUUCAGGAAACUGGGGCUAAUACCGGAUAUGAGCUCCUGCUGCAUGGUGGGGGUUGGAAAGUUUCGGCGGUUGGGGAUGGACUCGCGGCUUAUCAGCUUGUUGGUGGGGUAGUGGCUUACCAAGGCUUUGACGGGUAGCCGGCCUGAGAGGGUGACCGGCGACAUUGGGACUGAGAUACGGACCAGACUCGUACGGGAGGCAGCAGUGGGGAAUAUUGCAGAAUGGGCGGAAGCCUGAUGAAGCAACGCCGCGUGCGGGAUGACGGCCUUCGGGUUGUAAACAGCUUUCGCCUGUGACGAAGCGUGAGUGACGGUAAUGGGUAAAGAAGCACCGGCUAACUACGUG
This 468-nucleotide ribosomal RNA is filed under the name uncultured bacterium. RNAcentral describes it as "partial 16S ribosomal RNA". It matches the Rfam family "Bacterial small subunit ribosomal RNA", at positions 28 to 507 of the family's 1533-position model. The record is from RNAcentral.